Molecule: long non-coding RNA, 1829 nt
Organism: Plodia interpunctella (Indianmeal moth)
Lineage: Eukaryota; Metazoa; Arthropoda; Insecta; Lepidoptera; Pyralidae
Exons: 2
Source: RefSeq, a predicted model, not a curated record
GGCAUCAACACAUAUAAUAAUAUAGAACCGAAUCCGCAUACAAAAUUCUUGCGGCGCGCUUUGUUUAAAUUAAAAGCUUUACUUUACACCAAACAGUCGAAUUCUAAUUCUAUUAUUUGGCGGUCGAUCGACCACCAAAUUGAUGUUUUUUUUUAUUAUCGAAGCCAAUUUGCAGUUGGUCGCUACGUUCUUUACUGUUUAACCGGAGGAAAUAGGUAUGGCGACGGUCACAAGGACCGUACAGCCGGAACAGUAACAGCUAGGUAGGUAACUACCACUAUUUAUUACAUUGGUGGCACCAAUGCCUGCCACGGGCAGUGGCCUAUUCUGCUGGUUGGACAGCGUGGUGAAUGAGCAUUUCGCUCGCACGGUGUAAUGCAACCUUUGUCGCGCAGACUAGUGUUGCGGCGCGAUAGUCUAUUAUCGAUAGCGUUUCGAUGGACUGGAAUCAAGGUGUAAAAACUACCUCAGAUACACAAUGCCCCACAUCAGAAGUGCGGCUUAACUAUUUUUGAGUAGGUAGUUACCUACUUACGCAAAAUCUGCUAAAAUCGUGAGUGUGGAUAAUAUUCUUCAAAAAAUUAAGUGUCAAAGCAGAUCAUCAUUGGAAGUUGGUAAGUCAAUUGAAUUCACUACUUACACUACAUUGCAUUGCUCUUGUCAUGGCGUUUUGCAGUCCAGCCAUGAGGUACCUAAGUACCUAUUGCCUGGCUUUUCCGAGAUUGUUUUAUCUAUUUGGGGUAUACAAAUUUACUGUCAUGCCCACAUGCGUCCACUCAAAACUUAUUUUUGUUAAUAUCUCGCGAUGAAAUCUAUACUACAUUUUAAGUUAAUCUAUCUGCUAUACAACUGUGAAAACCGCAUCAAAUUAGUUUUUGCGUGAUACAUACAGACAGACAAAAAUUAAAAAUAUUUUGGCUUUUAUUAAUCCCACAAAAAGACCCUACCCUAUACCUACAUAGGUAAUUACCUAUUUAUAUUUCUGUAAUAUCCUAUUUACAGACAGCCCUACAGCUUUGUUAUAAUUAUACAUAUAGAUUGCCAACAUAGGUACGUACCUACGUAGAUGAAAAUAACCGAAUUCUCGGCCAUCAUUUAAAAAUGAAAAUCUGUUAUUAAAAAUAGGAAAACCUACAAUAUUAGCAGGACCCGUAGCGUAUUCUAUUGGUAACAAAUUAAUCUAGACUUUAAUUACCCUACCUAAAAGAACCAUUUUAUGUUGAAGAGUUAAUUGUUUACAUUUUUGAGUGUUAGUUCACAUAUCGUUUAUUUGUUGCUCAGUAAAUAUUAAUAAACAUUGGAUUGAAUACACUGUUUGGAUCGAUCGAUAAAAUCAAACAACGGAUUCCAUAGUGGAUAAUUUUCAUUGUCAAUUCAAUUUUAAUUUUUCAUCAUUUGGCACAAUUGCCGCACUAAAUACCUACCUCUAUGUCUGCAGAUUGUUGCAGAUUUGGUCAAAAUUUAACAAUUAAACUAGACAUUUAGGUAUAAAACCAAACUCUUGUGGAAUAAAACCAAACGAUAUUCUCACAACUCGGCGCAAAAUCAAUAAAAAUACUCAAAUAUUUAGUUCGCCACUUGUAGAGGAUCAUAUCGAACAAUUAUGCAACUGGUCAAGUAACAAUGCUGGUGAUUAGAUAAGGUCAAAUGAGAAAUGAAUCGUAGAUUACGCGCUUAUUGCUGAAUGACCGUGCGGGCGCGAUGUAAAUAUCAAGAAAGGCUACGUCACACCUGCAGGCGCACGCCAUUCCGGCCCGGCAUAAUAUUCAGUAAAUAUAAUACCUGUAAUUGAAAUCAAAGCAUGUAAUAAAGCCUAUUUUAAUAAAUGA